RNAcentral lists this microRNA precursor (106 nucleotides) under Canis lupus familiaris (dog). RNAcentral's name for it is "mir-8834 microRNA precursor family". It matches the Rfam family "mir-8834 microRNA precursor family". Lineage: Eukaryota; Metazoa; Chordata; Mammalia; Carnivora; Canidae. The record is from Rfam by way of RNAcentral.
AGGAGGAACAACCCCAGUGGCAGCGGCCAGCUCUGGAGCCCUGGAGUCAGCUACCACAGUAACUCCGGAGCUCUCUGUCUGUAGGGCCUGGAUGCUCUGGGGCCGG